CAGUAUGCCUGUUAUUUGAGUGGACUCUUCUUGGACCAUUUGCUUGGAUGAACAGUGGGCAGAAGUGGAAAGGAAGGGUGCUCUGGACAAAGGUGACAAAGCCCAGGAACAAAAGUCGGAAGGUGCACAGUGUGCCCAGAGGGCCAGGAAUUGGGUGGAGUGACUGGCUCCUUGGUCGCUUGCAAGUAGCAUGAGAAUAGAGAGGGCUGGGAGAUGCAUUAAAAAGCACCAGGACAAAUUUAGGUUUGCACAGAAAAGGACGUUUCGUCAGGGUACGUGAGGAAAGUUGAGUAGAGAAUUUAGGAAUGGAGCAGACGACUCUGGUUGGGAUGAUGAGAGCGGAGAGACAGAUCCAUGUUCUUUCCAGGUGCCCCAGCAGCUCCAGGUCUCGCUGAACCUGUUACUAUGGCAGCGUCUAUGCUUCACUUUUGAGGAUUGCUUCUGCUUUGAAAUAGCCGUGUGGAAGAAAAACUACAAAGUUUUGAGGGGGAAAAAACCCACCUAACUUUAGCUGCCGUUGUGUCUUCAUCUGUAAAAAUCUUCUUCAUGUCUCAUGGAUUUCAACAUGCAGUUUAUCUUGGUUUGUUCCAUAAAACAUCAGAUGCAACUUUAAUGGCCUAACCCCAAAAAGAUAACUUGGCAGCCAUCAAGCAUUCAGCAGCGUUCCAAAUGCCCUCUUGCUGGAGCCAGCCUUCUACGGGGCCAUGUGGAUGUCAGGCACACACAAUUUGAGUCACGCUGACAUAGCUGGGAUGCCUGGAUUGCACUGGAAUCUGGGGGGUACCAAUCACAGGCCAGAGAGAAGCCAUUGGCUGGAAGGAACAAUGCCAGCGUGUUCACCGUCUCUGCAGAAGGAGGGGGUGUUGAUGGUGAGGGGAAUGACAGUUGCAGCCAAAGGAGCAAAAUGACCCCAAAGCAGGGUGGGCACAUGUCAUUGAUGCUGGGCAGAAGCACUCCAGGGGCUCAGGUCAUGACCACACCCCUUUUCUCCUGCCCCACAACCAGAAAAACUAAGAAGGUACAAGAUUUUCCCUAAAACUUAAUGUACAGAAUGCCCUGCUGUCUUCAGGUUUUUGGGAAAUCCAGGGUUGACAACAACAGCCCAAAUAUAUGAAGCACUUACCUCUACCAGGCACUGUCUGUAUCUUACAAAUAAUUCGUUUAAUUCUCACAACUCCUUAAUGAGGUAAGUUUUACAAUUUCCAUUUUAUGAUGAGGGAAACUGAGGCUUAGAAAGAUUAAGAAACUUGCCCAAAUCCUGCAGCCAGAAAUGGGCAGAAUCAAGACAUGAACCACAGUCUCUCAAAAGCCAAAGCCUGGGCACUCACUACUACCCUCAACAGCCCGGUGGCUGGUUCAUGCCAUCUCUGCCACCCUCACACAGCCACCUCUUGGAUGGUAGAACCCUGUGUGUUGAACAAGUAGAGUAACAUUCUAAAAGGAUUCUUUUUCCUCCCCUGUUUUCCUGGGGGCUGAGUAGACAUGUUUAAACAUGCUGUUCAUCUGACACUUGUUUACUUCAGUGGCUAUGAUGUGCAAGACCCCAGACCAGGAACAGUAAGAGGGCAUGAGGAUAACCCAGCGUGGAGACCACUCUGGAGGAGGCUGCAGACUGGAGGCGCUGUUGUAGCCAGCUGCAUUUUGGAGGCUGGGUUGCCUGUCUUAGAUCUCUAAUGAGUUUGGUCAUUAUUUUUUCAGCCAGGGUUUUCUUCCUCCCUCCCUGUCUUCCUUCCCUUUCUCCUUCCUUCCUUCAUUCCUUCCUUCCUUUCUUCCUUCCUUCUUUCCUCCCUCCCUCCCUCCCUCCCUCCCUUCCUUUCUCUCUUUCCUUCUAUCUUUUAUUUUCUCUCUUUCUCUGUCUCUCUCUUUCUCUCUUUCUUCCUCCCUCCCUCCCUUUCUCUCCUUCUUUCUUUCUCCCUCCCUCCUCUCCUCCCUCUCUUGGUCUCUCUCUCUCUCCCUUCCUUCCUUUGUUCUUUCAAGAUUUUUCUUUCUUUCUUUCUUUCUUUUAAAGGUGUAAGCCUUUUUCUGGUUCACUACAUGCCAAGGACUGCGCUAAAUCAUUCACAUAAAACCACCAGCGUGCAUCACCUCAUUUGGUCCUCCCACAGUCUAACGGCAGAGUCUCACUCUGUUGCCCAGGCUGGAGUGCAGCAGCAUGAUCUCGGCUCACAGUAACCUCUGCCUCCGUGGUUCAAGCAAUUCUCCUGCCUCAGCUUCCCGAGUAGCUGGGAUUACAGGCGUGCACCACGACGCCUGCCUAAUUUUUGUAUUUUUGUAGAGACGGGGUUUCACCAUGUUGGCCAGGCUGGUCUGGAACUCCUGACCCCAAGUGAUCUGCCUGCCUCAGCCUCCCAAAGUGCUGGGAUUACAGGUGUGAUCCACCAUGCCCGGCCAUGUUCCGAGUCCUUAAGGUAACAAGGAGAAAUGUGAGAAGCCCAUUUGGGAAUGAAGGAUGCAGGAAAGCCCUGUAACUGAGGCAGCCAAUCAGAAGCUUUCAUUAACGGCCCUCUUUCUUUUGUCCCCCACUUCCAGAAGAAUCUACCAUAAAACCAACAGACUCCUCCUGAUCUCUACCUGUGCUGUCUGCCUCUCUAGUUCCGGACACUGAGAGCUGGUGCCCUGUGGCCACCUCAAGCUGGAACCCUGCAAGAUCACCAAGAAGACUGCAUGCCUCGCUCUAGCCUUCCUAAGGGAAAGUAGACUCCUGUUUUUGAGAGAAAUUACCUGAUUUCAAGAGAAACAUAAAGGACUUUUUUUCCCUUAACAUUCCACUCGUAAAAAUGAAGUUUGGAAGAACUUCUGCAAACUCUGAGUGUUUUGGUCAAUUGACCUUUUACUGUACUAAGCAAAUCUGAAGCCACAAAUACAUUGGGGAGGAAGGUAUACCCUUCACAAAAGAUCCGUCACUUAGCCAGAUACUCUGUUGCCAUGCUUCUUUAAAUAAAGCACAUUUCUGGUAUAUUU
This 2961-nucleotide long non-coding RNA is filed under the name Homo sapiens (human). RNAcentral describes it as "HSALNT0184495". Lineage: Eukaryota; Metazoa; Chordata; Mammalia; Primates; Hominidae. The record is from RNAcentral.